AGUCUCACGGGGAGGGGCCAGUUGACCUCACGCUGGUCUGGACUCUGCGGCCAUUUAGCCGGUUCCCUUUUCAGUGGAGGCCGCGCUGCAUUCCAAGUCCUCGAGGUGGGGGGAGCGGUACUUCCCGGAACUUGAGGAAGGGCGUUUACUCAGCUGAUAAAGCCAACUCCAGCGUGAAAUUGAGGGCCUCCAUUACCGAAGGAGAUGCGCGCGCCCGUGCCAGAGCCCCAGCCUGGAGACCUGAUCGAGAUUUUCCGCCCUUUCUACAGACACUGGGCCGUCUACGUUGGCGAUGGAUAUGUGAUCCACCUGGCCCCACCAAGUGAAAUCGCAGGAGCUGGUAUGGCCAGUGUCAUGUCUGCGCUGACCGACAAGGCCAUAGUGAAGAAGGAUCGGCUGUGCGACGUGGCCGGGCGAGACCGGUACCAGGUCAACAAUAAGCACGAUGACAAGUACUCGCCGUUGCCUCCCAGCAAGAUUGUCCAGCAGGCAGAGGAGCUGGUGGGCCAGGAAGUUCUCUACAAGCUGACCAGCGAGAACUGCGAGCACUUUGUCAACGAGCUGCGCUACGGGAUCCCCCGCAGUGACCAGGUCAGAGAGGCCAUCAUGGUAGCUGGCAUCGCAGGAGUGGGCCUGGCAGCCAUAGGCCUCAUUGGAAUCAUGUUCUCAAGAAACAAGAAACAAAAGCAAUGACUUGAAGGGACUCUCUUGUCGGCAGUGAAUUUAUACAUUAAGGGGGCCUUCUUUGCUAGAGGGUUUGAGGUUUGGUUUGUGGAUUUAUUCUGUUUUACAAUAAGGCUUAUUUUCACAGAAUAAAAUAAAGCCCAAUGAAGGAGGAUUUUAUUGGGGGAAGUGCAGCAAGAACUGCCUGGCGUGGUCUGUUGAGGGUGCAGCUACGCUCUGUUCCUGAUGAUGCCAUGUUGUUCUCUGCCUCUUUGGUGAUUUUCUCUCACUUUCUAUUUGUGGGCUGCAUUCUUCACGUGCAGGAAACAAAGUCCAACUCCGGUUAUCUCAAGUAAUGGGGGCUUCUAGUGGUGAGGAUACAGGUGGGCAGCAAGGGAGACAGACAAACCUGACUGAUAUUCAAGAACAGGAACCACUGCACACCCAGGACCUUUGGCCUGGAGCUAGACCCAGUCUGGCUUCCAGGACUUAGUAGCUGGAGUCUAUGUCCGUGGGGUUCAAACCUCAGCCAUAAGGAAAGACUAUAUGCUCUUGCCAGUCUUGUUAAAAUCUCCUUUAUCUCCCUCUGAUCUCCACAGCUUUUCUCAGCCUUAUCACUUCCACCCCGCAGCACUCCUACGUCCUCUCCACUUGGGCUGUCACGACACCCCUCCCCCCCACCGCCAAGUCUCUGAUCCCACACCCGCUCCUGCGGCUUCUCUCCCCACAUCUGCUCAGUUUCAUCCCUCCCUGUGGCCUGCGAGGUGCUCCCAACGCAAGCUCCUGAGAGAGAAUCUGAUUGGCUCAGCUCACCACACUUAGCCUACAGAUUGAUUGGCUGCCAUUGGGUCAGGUGGCCCCACUAGGCCAAUCAGCUCUGCCCAGUGGGGCCAGGUCUCGUGGUACAAAGUUGCCUCGGGGCUUUCGGGGUGGGAGUGUGGCUCAUCCCAUGCCUGAUGUAGGUGCAGCUGAGCCCUCCCGGGAGGGUCUGGGGGCGAAGGGACGAUCCUUCAUGGUUGGUCCCUUGAGGUCUCCUGGUGUUGCUCGCUGGGCUUGGCAGGUGUUCAAAGUGACCAUUUUCCUGAAAGGGGCUUUUGUGGGUUCCUCAGAAGUACCCUGUUGGGGCUGACUGUCCGUCCCUCCACAGGGCACGUCUUCUCUGUCUGCUUGCGAAUGUUUCCUUCGUCAGCCCUGGUUGUCUGGGGACCAUCAGUCUUUUGGAAUCCUGGACAGGACUUACAAAUGGCUCCUGGCCAGCUCCCUCCUGCUUGGCCCACAUCUGGUCCAGUAUUAGCUUGUGCCCAUUCAUGUCCCAGCGUUGAUGUAAGAGUAGUGUCUCCCAGUGUAGUUUUCUUCCUUUUUGUUUCAGUUCUGUUGAUGUCCCAUGUCGUGCCAGUUCUUAAGCUCCCAAACCCAAGGGACACAAGGUCCAAAUUAAAGGGUGGUAUCUUUUUUUUUUUUGCGGUACGCGGGCCUCUCACUGUUGUGGCCUCAUCCCGUUGCGGAGCACAGGCUCCGGACGCGCAGGCUCAGCGACCAUGGCUCACGGGCCCCAGCCGCCUCCGCGGCAUGUGGGAUCUUCCCGGACCGGGACACGAACCCGCGUCCCCUGCAUCGGCAGGCGGACUCUCAACCACUGCGCCCCCAGGGAAGCCCAAAGGUGGGUUUCUUGAAGCCCACUCUGUCGCAUGGCAUAAGGUGAUGCAGAGGCGUGGAGCAUAAACCUCCAAACUGAUUGUCGAGUAAAAAGGAAUGAAGUAGAAUAAACACAAGAAAGCAAAACUAAGACACCCAGUUCAAUUACAAAAUAAACAUUACAUACAGAAAGUGGGGUGUGUAGAAAUGACCAGAGAAGACGGAAGAACUAAUUCCAAAUAUAUUGGUAAUGACCAUAAGUAAAUAUGGACUAAAUUUGCCAAGUAUAAGACAAAUAUUAUGCUGGAUUAGACAGCUAAUCCAGGGAGUACUGUCUACAGCAGAGGCAACUGAAAUAUAAGGACACAAAAGACUGAAGUUUGAAAAGAUGGACGUUGUGCAUGAUAACUCAUCUGAUGUCUUUAAAACAUUGUUAUCGAGGAGAAAAAUUGGGCGGUGUGUAUAAACUGUCCUAGACUGAAAGACAUGUUGGAGGCAAAACAGCUAAGUGUGAAAAAACGACUAUAAACGCAAUUUGGGGUAAUAGGGAAAAUUUGAAUAUGGACUGGGUGUUUAAGAAUAUUAAGAAAUUAUGAAUUUUAUUAAGUGUGAAAAUGGUAUGAGGACUUAUGGGAAAACACAUGAACCUUAUUAAAAAAAUCGAUGCAGAUACAGCGAAUAUGACAAAACAAUAAGUUUUUAAUCUAUGUAUUGGGUAUAUGGGUAACCGCUGUGGUAGUCUUUCUAGUACUUUUUGUAUAUUAAAAUUUUUAACCUAGUAAGCAUCUGAAAAGUAUCUGAAAUUUGAACUUGAAAAUUUAAAUAAACUGAAACUUUUGAAAUUAUUUCAAAAGUUUAUUAUUAUUUUGAAUUAAUUUCAAAAUAAAUUAUAUAAUAAUUUUUUAAAUUAAAAGAAGAUAUGCUAGGCAAAUACUAACUAAAAACUGGUUAGGUUAAUACUAAUUAACUAAAAGCUGGUACAUCUAUAAUCAUAUCAGACACUAUAGGCUUUAAACCAAAAAUGAUUACUGGACAGAAAAAAGAUAAAAGGUGUGGCAUAAUAAGAAAUGCAUUUGGUCUUAUCCUUGGUUCUUGGCCAGAGCUCCUAAAACCCUUGGAAUUUCCUAAGUGAUAGGCAUGUCUUUUCCUGUUCCUAAGGAGCCCCUUUUGAUCAACCUGAGUUUGUCCUAAUGAGGAGACUUAGGGUGGGGACACUAAGAUAGCCUUAAGAUGGGGCUGGUCAUCAGAAAGACCAAGUGAUUAGAGGGCUGGAACUUUCAGGCUACUGAUCUCUAAGAAGGGGAGGUGAGGGGUGGGCAAGCUGAAGAUUAAGCUCUAUAAAAACUCUUGAUCAAGGAGACUUGAUGAGCUUCCUGCUGGUGAACAUAUGGAGGUAUCAGGAGAGCGGCUGCCGGAAGAGGGCAUGGACGGUCCUUGCCCACACAACUUGCCCUAUGCAUCUCUUCCAUUUGGUUGUUCCUGAGUUCUGUACAUUAUAAUAAACCGGUAAACAUAAUUAAAGUGCCUCUUCCUG
This 3832-nucleotide long non-coding RNA is filed under the name Phocoena sinus (vaquita). RNAcentral's name for it is "lncRNA (ENSPSNG00000004138.1)". The record is from RNAcentral. Lineage: Eukaryota; Metazoa; Chordata; Mammalia; Artiodactyla; Phocoenidae.